Molecule: ribosomal RNA, 577 nt
Filed under: uncultured bacterium
Lineage: Bacteria
Description: bacterial SSU rRNA
Rfam family: Bacterial small subunit ribosomal RNA
Source: RNAcentral
CCUACGGGAGGCAGCAGUGAGGAAUAUUGGACAAUGGGCGCAAGCCUGAUCCAGCCAUGCCGCGUGCAGGAAGAAGCAUCUAUGGUGUGUAAACUGCUUUUGUACGGGAAGAAACACUGCUACGUGUAGCAGCUUGACGGUACCGUAAGAAUAAGGAUCGGCCAACUCCGUGCCAGCAGCCGCGGUAAUACGGAGGAUCCAAGCGUUAUCCGGAAUCAUUGGGUUUAAAGGGUCCGUAGGCGGUUUGGUAAGUCAGUGGUGAAAGCCCAUCGCUUAACGAUGGAACGGCCAUUGAUACUGCCAGACUUGAAUUACUAGGAAGUAACUAGAAUAUGUAGUGUAGCGGUGAAAUGCUUAGAUAUUACAUGGAAUACCAAUUGCGAAGGCAGGUUACUACUAGUUUAUUGACGCUGAUGGACGAAAGCGUGGGGAGCGAACAGGAUUAGAUACCCUGGUAGUCCACGCCGUAAACGAUGGAUACUAGCUGUUCGGGGUAACCUGAGUGGCUAAGCGAAAGUGAUAAGUAUCCCACCUGGGGAGUACGUUCGCAAGAAUGAAACUCAAAUGAAAUUGACGG